ACGGGGUGUUAAAGGGACAAAGUCUAAGCAUUUCCUUGAAACGCUCCCACGCAUCAUAUAGAGACUCCCCAUCUUUUUGGUUGAACCGCGUGAUUUGAUCUCUUAGUUU
This 109-nucleotide small nucleolar RNA is filed under the name Medicago truncatula (barrel medic). Its description in RNAcentral is "snoRNA gene39605". It matches the Rfam family "Plant small nucleolar RNA R71". Rfam says of the family: R71 is a member of the C/D box family of snoRNAs containing the C (UGAUGA) and D (CUGA) box motifs. Multiple nearly identical copies of this snoRNA have been identified in Arabidopsis, and it is thought to function as a 2'-O-ribose methylation guide for 18S ribosomal RNA. Lineage: Eukaryota; Viridiplantae; Streptophyta; Magnoliopsida; Fabales; Fabaceae. The record is from RNAcentral.